UACAGAGGAGCCAAGCGUUGUCCGGAUUGACUGGGCGUAAAGCGCACGCAGGCGGUUGCGCGCGUGGGGUGUGAAAUCUGGCCGCUUAACGGCCAGGCGCCAUCCCAUACGGCGCGACUGGAGUGAUGCAGAGGUCGAUGGAAUUGCCGGUGUAGUGGUGAAAUGCGUAGAUAUCUGGAGGAACACCGGUGGCGAAGGCGGCAUCCUGGACCGGUAUUGACGCUGAGGCGCGAAAGCUAGGGGAGCAAACGGG
This 253-nucleotide ribosomal RNA is filed under the name uncultured bacterium. Its description in RNAcentral is "partial 16S ribosomal RNA". It matches the Rfam family "Bacterial small subunit ribosomal RNA", at positions 524 to 776 of the family's 1533-position model. The record is from RNAcentral.